RNAcentral lists this ribosomal RNA (272 nucleotides) under uncultured bacterium. RNAcentral's name for it is "partial 16S ribosomal RNA". It matches the Rfam family "Bacterial small subunit ribosomal RNA", at positions 524 to 794 of the family's 1533-position model. The record is from RNAcentral.
GACGAACCCGUGCAAACGUUGUUCGGAAUCACUGGGUUUAAAGGGCGCGUAGGCGGUCUGCUAAGUCGGUGGUGAAAUACUUCAGCUUAACUGGAGAAUUGCCGCUGAAACUGGCAGGCUGGAGGGAGGCAGAGGUGCGUGGAACUUCCGGUGGAGCGGUGAAAUGCGUUGAUAUCGGAAGGAACGCCUGUGGCGAAAGCGGCGCACUGGACCUCUUCUGACGCUGAGGCGCGAAAGCUAGGGUAGCGAACGGGAUUAGAUACCCCAGUAGU